GCAGGCGUAGCUCAGUGGUAGAGCGCCCCCUUUCCAAGGGGGAGACGCAGUGUUCAAUUCCUGUCGCCUGCUC
This 73-nucleotide transfer RNA is filed under the name Embleya hyalina. RNAcentral's name for it is "tRNA-Gly". It matches the Rfam family "tRNA". Rfam says of the family: Transfer RNA (tRNA) molecules are approximately 80 nucleotides in length. Their secondary structure includes four short double-helical elements and three loops (D, anti-codon, and T loops). Further hydrogen bonds mediate the characteristic L-shaped molecular structure. tRNAs have two regions of fundamental functional importance: the anti-codon, which is responsible for specific mRNA codon recognition, and the 3' end, to which the tRNAs corresponding amino acid is attached (by aminoacyl-tRNA synthetases). tRNAs cope with the degeneracy of the genetic code in two manners: having more than one tRNA (with a specific anti-codon) for a particular amino acid; and 'wobble' base-pairing, i.e. permitting non-standard base-pairing at the 3rd anti-codon position. Lineage: Bacteria; Bacillati; Actinomycetota; Actinomycetes; Kitasatosporales; Streptomycetaceae. The record is from RNAcentral.